CAAUCGGCCCUUUUGAGGGCCACCAUAUAAUUUGAACGUUGGAUCAU
Molecule: non-coding RNA, 47 nt
Organism: Trichomalopsis sarcophagae
Lineage: Eukaryota; Metazoa; Arthropoda; Insecta; Hymenoptera; Pteromalidae
Source: Rfam